AUGAUUCGUGGGACGUCCUGCCGGUGGUGGCGAGUCGAAGGCGUGCUCCCGUUGUGGUCUCCACUUCGGUUCUUGCGCGCCCGAGGCGGACCCCGAUGAAAUCCUACCGCGGUGCUCUUCGCCGAGUGUCGAGGUGGGCCGGCACGUUUACUUUGAACAAAUUAGAGUGCUUAAAGCAGGCCUGUUGCGCCUGAAUACUGUGUGCAUGGAAUAAUGGAAUAGGACCUCGGUUCUAUUUUGUUGGUUUUCGGAACCCGAGGUAAUGAUUAAUAGGGACAGGCGGGGGCAUUCGUAUUGCGACGUUAGAGGUGAAAUUCUUGGAUCGUCGCAAGACGGACCGAAGCGAAAGCAUUUGCCAAGUAUGUUUUCAUUAAUCAAGAACGAAAGUUAGAGGUUCGAAGGCGAUCAGAUACCGCCCUAGUUCUAACCAUAAACGAUGCCAGCUAGCGAUCCGCCGAAGUUCCUCCGAUGACUCGGCGGGCAGCUCCCGGGAAACCAAAGCUUUUGGGUUCCGGGGGAAGUAUGGUUGCAAAGCUGAAACUUAAAGGAAUUGACGGAAGG
Molecule: ribosomal RNA, 561 nt
Filed under: Isophya nervosa
Lineage: Eukaryota; Metazoa; Arthropoda; Insecta; Orthoptera; Tettigoniidae
Description: SSU rRNA
Rfam family: Eukaryotic small subunit ribosomal RNA
Source: RNAcentral